AGAGAACAACAUAUUUCAUAGACUAUAAGAAAAUAGUUUGCGAAGAAAAAUAGAGUCUGAGAGAUAUUGUAGUGAGGUGAAAAAUAUAAUAAUAAAAGAGUGUUUAUUUCUUUUGAGGGUGUAGUGGUCUUAGGAGUAUUUUUACUCAUUACUACACAGUGUAAAAUUUCUCACUAUAGUGACAUCAGUUGCUCUUCUUGGACGUGGAUUUUUCCCUUAUUCAGAAGGGUUUCCACAUAAAAUCUUGAUGUCAUUAUUGCUGCAUUUUUAUUCUAGCUGAUUUAACCAUAACUUAGUGUUCUGCAUUUAUCACUUAUACAGUGAAUACUAUUUUUACGGGGUUUAUUCCCAACAAGUGUUAUCAGAGCCAAGGUUCUAUCUGAGUACUGUGGUUGCAGCACAGUCUGAACUUUCACAUCAGAAAAGAAUUAUUUUGGUCUCAUAAUAAAUAUUACUUGUAUUUGUGAUAAACAAUGGAAGCCAACACUAGUAGAAUGGUUGCUUUGAAUGGCACAAAUUAUCAUUUGAAAGGGCAAAAUGGAAGAUUUGCUCUAUGUAAAAAAAUUUCAUCAACCUGUCUACGCUACUAUAAAGAUUGAAAAUAAAUUAGAUGAAGAGUGAAAUUUGUUACACAGACAGUGUUGCGG
RNAcentral lists this long non-coding RNA (647 nucleotides) under Nicotiana benthamiana. Its description in RNAcentral is "long non-coding RNA (NBEN_LNC004406)". The record is from RNAcentral. Lineage: Eukaryota; Viridiplantae; Streptophyta; Magnoliopsida; Solanales; Solanaceae.